GAUGAACGCUGGCGGCGUGCCUAAUACAUGCAAGUCGAGCGAACAGACGAGGAGCUUGCUCCUCUGACGUUAGCGGCGGACGGGUGCGUAACACGUGGAUAACCUACCUAUAAGACUGGGAUAACUUCGGGAAACCGGAGCUAAUACCGGAUAAUAUAUUGAACCGCAUGGUUCAAUAGUGAAAGACGGUUUUGCUGUCACUUAUAGAUGGAUCCGCGCCGCAUUAGCUAGUUGGUAAGGUAACGGCUUACCAAGGCAACGAUGCGUAGCCGACCUGAGAGGGUGAUCGGCCACACUGGAACUGAGACACGGUCCAGACUCCUACGGGAGGCAGCAGUAGGGAAUCUUCCGCAAUGGGCGAAAGCCUGACGGAGCAACGCCGCGUGAGUGAUGAAGGUCUUCGGAUCGUAAAACUCUGUUAUUAGGGAAGAACAAAUGUGUAAGUAACUAUGCACGUCUUGACGGUACCUAAGCAGAAAGCCACGGCUAACUACGU
Molecule: ribosomal RNA, 496 nt
Filed under: uncultured bacterium
Lineage: Bacteria
Description: partial 16S ribosomal RNA
Rfam family: Bacterial small subunit ribosomal RNA
Source: RNAcentral